This 75-nucleotide transfer RNA is filed under the name [Torrubiella] hemipterigena. RNAcentral describes it as "Torrubiella hemipterigena tRNA". It matches the Rfam family "tRNA". Rfam says of the family: Transfer RNA (tRNA) molecules are approximately 80 nucleotides in length. Their secondary structure includes four short double-helical elements and three loops (D, anti-codon, and T loops). Lineage: Eukaryota; Fungi; Ascomycota; Sordariomycetes; Hypocreales; Clavicipitaceae. The record is from Rfam by way of RNAcentral.
UCCAUGGUGGCCUAGUGGUUAAGGCGCCCAUUCACUUGUGUCUGGGAAACGCGGGUUCGAGUCCCGUCAGAGGAG